Molecule: ribosomal RNA, 253 nt
Filed under: uncultured bacterium
Lineage: Bacteria
Description: partial 16S ribosomal RNA
Rfam family: Bacterial small subunit ribosomal RNA
Source: RNAcentral
UACGGAGGGUGCAAGCGUUAAUCGGAAUUACUGGGCGUAAAGAGCACGUAGGCGGUUUGAUAAGUUAGAUGUGAAAUCCCCGGGCUUAACUUGGGAGCUGCAUUUAAAACUGUCUGGCUAGAGUUCGGUAGAGGGGGGUGGAAUUUCCGGUGUAGCGGUGAAAUGCGUAGAGAUCGGAAGGAACAUCAGUGGCGAAGGCGGCCCCCUGGACUAGGACUGACGCUGAGGUGCAAAAGCGUGGGGAGCGAACAGG